RNAcentral lists this long non-coding RNA (1179 nucleotides) under Solanum tuberosum (potato). RNAcentral's name for it is "long non-coding RNA (STUB_LNC002940)". Lineage: Eukaryota; Viridiplantae; Streptophyta; Magnoliopsida; Solanales; Solanaceae. The record is from RNAcentral.
UUUUGAAUUCCCUUUCAAAGGAAAUCGCAGACAGUGUUGAAUAUGUCGCCAACUCGGAGGAACUUUGGAAAGAACUGCAGGACCGAUAUGAUCUAACCAAUGGAGCGAAAUUGCAUCAAAUUCAGAAAGAGAUAAAUGAUUUAAGUCAAGGUGCCUUGGACAUUACUGGUUACUACACCAGAAUGAAGAAAUUGUGGGAAGAACUCAGUACCUUAGCAGCUAAUCACAUAUGCAACUGUCGAUGCACAUGUGGUGCCAAAGAUAUCAUGUAUAAGGCUGAACAGGACAGGCGCUUGAUCCAAUUUCUCAUGGGGCUAAACGAGGUUUACACAAUAAUGAGAGGAAGCAUUCUCAUGAUGACUCAUCUACCCUCCAUGGGACAAGCAUUUGCAUUUCUUGUGCAGGAAGAAAAACAAAGGGAAAUCAGACCACAACCAGAUGUUUGUUGAAUCUGCUUCUGUAGCUGUAAGUACUUCAGGCACUAAGACCUUCAAAACGAACUACACAUCCAACACCAACACUAAUGAAGCCAGCUCUAGUAGGUCUAGACUCUUUUGUGAGUACUGUAAGAGAUCGGGACACAUAAAAGACAAGUGUUACAGACUACAUGGAUACCCUUCUCAGCCAAAUCAAGGACAAGGUCAGAUCUCACAGAACAAUUCAUACAACCAGAGGAACUAUGGAUACAAUCCACCUACAAACAAUCAAAAGAACACAAUUAAUGGCUACAACAACAGGUUUAACAAGGGGAAAUGAAUAGCUGCAAAUACACAUUCUGAUAUGAAUCUUAUCAAGAGUGAGGAACCACCAUAUGAGAAUCAUCAGGGAACACAACUGUCCAAGGAACAAUAUGAUCAACUGAUGAACAUGCUGCAACACUUCAAUAAUUCUGAUCCACGCAGUGACACUCAAACUAGUGGAGCUGCAAACUUUGCAGGUACUAUUGCUUGCUCAUCUUCUGUGAAUUUUGAUAAACUGUCUUGUGGAUGUUUCAAAGAAAAGGCUGACUUAUGGAUCCUAGACUCAGGAGCAUCUCAUCAUAUGACUUUCAAUAGACAACACCUCACUAAUAUCCUACAAUUACCUUACCAUUUACUAGUGAAACUACCAAAUGGUUACAAUGUGAAGGUGACAAAAGUAGGCAAUGUGGUAUUAUCAUCUAAGAUCACUCUAUAUAAG